CGUGUCGACGGACAGACACGUCCUUCAAGGAUGAGGGAUAGGGAAAUCGCAGGACGCGAUUCAUCAGGAUGAUGAAAAGGAACACAGGGAAUAGGGAAAAAAUGUGGGCGGGUUAAACCGCCCCUUUUUUU
Pseudomonas sp. is the source of this 131-nucleotide non-coding RNA. Lineage: Bacteria; Pseudomonadati; Pseudomonadota; Gammaproteobacteria; Pseudomonadales; Pseudomonadaceae. The record is from Rfam.